This 1390-nucleotide long non-coding RNA is filed under the name Taeniopygia guttata (zebra finch). RNAcentral describes it as "lncRNA (ENSTGUG00000025884.1)". Lineage: Eukaryota; Metazoa; Chordata; Aves; Passeriformes; Estrildidae. The record is from RNAcentral.
GGGGGCCUUCCGUGAGGACGGCGCGCAACAUGGCGGCGCCCAGGCCGAGCGCGGGACCGGGUGAGGGAACGGGGAACGGGAGCGGGAGCGGGAAUGGGAAUGGGAACGGGAAUGGGAAUGGGAAUGGGAAUGGGAAUGGGAAUGGGAAUGGGAAUGGGAACGUGAACCGGGAGCGGGAACGGGAACGGGAACGAGAACCGGGACCGGGAACGGGAGCGGGACUGGGAACAGGAAACGGGAACAGGAACGGGAGCGGGAACGGGAACCGGAACGGGACUGGGAGCGGGAACGGGAACCGGGAACGGGAAUAGGAACGGGCCCGAGCAGCCUCCCCGUCCCCUCAGGGCCGCCGCCGGUCCCGGGCGGGCGGAGCCGGGAUCGCCCGGGAAUGGCGGAGAGACCGGGACGGGCUCGGGCUGCCGGGGCCCGGAGCAGGUCACCAGAUCCCAUCGAGGACGUGCUCGGGGAGCUCCUGGGAUCUGAUGGUAAAGGGAGAGCUCCCAGCGGGGUCACCUGGGGGAUCACCUGGGAACCCCUGGGGUCACCUGGAAGGGUCACCUGGGGAUCACCUGGGCACCCCUGGGGUCACCUGGGGGGUGCCCCGCCCUCCCCAUUCCCACCUGGCUCCGGCUCCAUCCCUGACCCCUCCCUUGUUUCCAGAGGAGGUCCCAGCUCCGCCCUCCCGAGGUUCCCGCACCUCCUUCCCGCAGGUGAGCCCAGGUGAGCUCCAGGUGAGCUCCAGGUGAACUCCAGGUGCCCCCUCCCCCAUCCCGGGCAGGUGUGCCCACCUGGGAGCACCUGGGGCCCCUCCCCACCCCCUCACCUGUGCCUGGAGGGAGCUGGGAUCGGGAUUGUGGAGGGAAAAUCCCAAAAAAUUGGAAAUUCCCAAAGAAAGGGAGAUGCCCAUCAGGAAAUGGGAAAUUGUCAACAGAGGAUGGGGAGUUCUGAAAAAAUGGGAAAUUCCCAAUGGGGAACAGGAAAUUCCCAAAGAACAGCGAAUGGGAAAUUCCCAAAAAACUGAAAAUUCUCAAAGAACAGGAAAUUCCCAGCGGGGAAUGGGAAAUUCCCAGUGGGGAACGCGGAAGGGGUGAAGGUGGGCGGGGCAGAAUUCCCAAAGGAUUUGGGAUCCCACCUGGGCUGCAGGUGAGGGCAGCAGCUGCCCCCUCCAGGAGCCAGAUCACCGGGAUCCCGUGGAUCACCUGGAUCCUGUGGAUCACCUGGAUCCUGUGGAUCACCUGGAUGAGCUGGACGCGCUGGAUGCAGAAAUCCUGGGAAUGGGCAGAGGCGGGUCCAGGCCGGGGAAACGCAGGAAGGGGCCGGGUCCCCAAACAGCCCCGCCCCGUCCCGAUGUCACCUUUGGGGACAACGUCGAUGACCUGAUGGAUUCCCU